This 502-nucleotide ribosomal RNA is filed under the name uncultured bacterium. RNAcentral's name for it is "partial 16S ribosomal RNA". It matches the Rfam family "Bacterial small subunit ribosomal RNA", at positions 30 to 523 of the family's 1533-position model. The record is from RNAcentral.
AUUGAACGCUGGCGGCAGGCUUAACACAUGCAAGUCGAGCGGGGUGAUGGUGCUUGCACUAUCACUUAGCGGCGGACGGGUGAGUAAUGCUUAGGAAUCUGCCUAUUAGUGGGGGACAACAUCUCGAAAGGGAUGCUAAUACCGCAUACGUCCUACGGGAGAAAGCAGGGGAUCACUUGUGACCUUGCGCUAAUAGAUGAGCCUAAGUCGGAUUAGCUAGUUGGUGGGGUAAGGCCUACCAAGGCGACGAUCUGUAGCGGGUCUGAGGGGAUGAUCGGCCACACUGGGACUGAGACACGGGCCAGAUUCCUACGGGAGGCAGCAGUGGGGAAUAUUGGACAAUGGGGGGAACCCUGAUCCAGCCAUGCUGCGUGUGUGAAGAAGGCCUUAUGGUUGUAAAGCACUUUAAGCGAGGAGGAGGCUCUUUUGGUUAAUACCCAAGAUGAGUGGACGUUACUCGCAGAAUAAGCACCGGCUAACUCUGUGCCAGCCGCCGCCGUAA